AAUGAAAUAUCUUGGUCUACCUAACAAAAUAGUUACCGAUUAAAAACAUUUUUAAGAUUAGUAAAAGUGAUAGAAGGUUAUUAAAUAAGACCCAAGUAAAGUACCGUAAGGGAACAAAUUCAAUUAGAUCAAAGAAAGAAUUAAUAUUUGUACCUUUUGCAUCAUGGUUUAGCUAGAUAUCUAUUUUCUCUAAAAUUUCUCGAAAUCUGAUGAGUUAUCUUUAUUCAGUAUUUUAGUACCGAAAGAGUAGUUGUAGCAAAAACUUUCUUAGAAAUACAGAUGGAAAUGAAAUUUUAUUCGUAUCAGAUGAUAGCUAGUUCUUCAGAAAGGCAUAUAAGUGCUCUAAACUAAUUUAAUCUUUGUAAUAGAACUAUAAAGAGAAUUUAGUUUAAUUAAAUUUUUGAGGAUAAGCUCGAAAAUUAAUAUUAUAUUUGCAUUUUAUUCUUGUUAAAAUUUAGGCUUGAAAGUAGCCACAAUUUUGAGUUUGUUAUAAUUCCAUUAAUUAAUGAAGAAGAUAAUUAAUUUGCUGCAAGUAAAUGAAGAAAACUUAAUAACUAAAUUAAGCUAAAUUAAUGCUAAAAUGAGUAUUACACUAAUCUAUAUAUCUUUAACAAUCUAUAAGUUAAAGUUUAUUCAUGCUUUUAGUUUAUAAAUUACAGAAAGGAACUCGGCAAAUCCACAUUCUGCCUGUUUAGCAAAAACAUGGCUCCUUGAAAACUGAUAAUAAGGAGUCGGACCUGCCCAGUGAAUUUUUUUAACGGCCGCGGUACUCUGACCGUGCAAAGGUAGCAUAAUCAUUUGCCUUAUAAUUGAAGGCUAGUAUGAAUGGUUUGACAUGAAUGUAGCUGUCUCUCUGUAAUUCAACAGAACUUUACUUUCAGGUGAAGAGGCCUGUAUAUAAUUAAAAGACAAGAAGACCCUAUCGAGCUUGAAAGAAACUAAUAGAAUUAUGAUUAAUAUCAUUAAAAGAUUAUCUAUUAUAAAUUUUAGUUGGGGCGACUGAGGAACAUAAAAAGCUUCCUUUAAGAUUUAUUAAAAUCAGACUAGAGUUGAUCCAAAACAUUUUGAUUAAAGGAAUUAGUUACCGUAGGGAUAACAGCAUUAUCUUUUUUAAGAGCUCAUAUCGAAAAAAAGGUUUGUGACCUCGAUGUUGGACCAGAAUAUCCUAAAGGUGCAGCAGCCUUUAAGGGUUGGUCUGUUCGACCAUUAAAAUUCUACGUGAUCUGAGUUCAGACCGGCGUGAGCCAGGUCAGUUUCUAUCUUUAAUUAUAGAGGUAAGUUUAGUACGAAAGGACCAAUUUACUAUAAAACAAUAUUAUUCCCUGAUCAAAUUUAAUUAGUAAUUAAGUU
RNAcentral lists this ribosomal RNA (1350 nucleotides) under Tritia varicosa. Its description in RNAcentral is "16S ribosomal RNA". It matches the Rfam family "Bacterial large subunit ribosomal RNA", at positions 192 to 2814 of the family's 2925-position model. Lineage: Eukaryota; Metazoa; Mollusca; Gastropoda; Neogastropoda; Nassariidae. The record is from RNAcentral.